RNAcentral lists this ribosomal RNA (468 nucleotides) under uncultured bacterium. Its description in RNAcentral is "partial 16S ribosomal RNA". It matches the Rfam family "Bacterial small subunit ribosomal RNA", at positions 28 to 507 of the family's 1533-position model. The record is from RNAcentral.
GACGAACGCUGGCGGCGUGCUUAACACAUGCAAGUCGAACGGAAAGGCCCUGCUUUUGUGGGGGGCUCGAGUGGCGAACGGGUGAGUAACACGUGAGUAACCUGCCCUUGACUUUGGGAUAACUUCAGGAAACUGGGGCUAAUACCGGAUAGGAGCUCCUGCUGCAUGGUGGGGGUUGGAAAGUUUCGGCGGUUGGGGAUGGACGCGCGGCUUAUCAGCUUGUUGGUGGGGUAGUGGCUUACCAAGGCUUUGACGGGUAGCCGGCCUGAGAGGGUGACCGGCCACAUUGGGACUGCGAUACGGCCCAGACUCCUACGGGAGGCAGCAGUGGGGAAUAUUGCACAAUGGGCGGAAGCCUGAUGCAGCAACGCCGCGUGCGGGAUGACGGCCUUCGGGUUGUAAACCGCUUUCGCCUGUGACGAAGCGUGAGUGACGGUAAUGGGUAAAGAAGCACCGGCUAACUACGUG